UCCCUGGUGGCUCAGAGGGUAAAGCAUCUGCCUGUGAUGCAGAAGACCCAGGUUUGAUCCCUAGGUCGGGAA
Molecule: non-coding RNA, 72 nt
Organism: Bos taurus (domestic cattle)
Lineage: Eukaryota; Metazoa; Chordata; Mammalia; Artiodactyla; Bovidae
Source: Rfam